UUCCAUUUGAAAGGAUGGAGCUUCGUCUUUUGAUCUUCGAUUCGUUUUCGGUUUGAUCUCUUUUUGGGGAUUUACAUGCGUUUCGGUUUGAAACCCAAUAUUUUCCUGACAAUUUUUGCUUUUCGUUUCCAUCUUGGUGGUGAAAAGACGGAACCUUUUCGUUGAGCAGUUGCAUCUGGAAUCUCCGCCAUACGUGCAUGCACUUGUUGAAGUUCUUUCUCGGAAUGGCGUGGCUACCCAUUUGCGUAGACGCGGCGAAUGAUCAGAUCUGAGUGUCUCAUUGUUCAAUCUCUCUUAGGGUUUUUUGUUUUCGUAGAGAUCGGUUUUGGGUACUUAGUUUUUGACGUUGCAUUCUAUUGCACGUCUUCAGUUUCAGUUGCAAGUGUCUGGAAAAUGGGUUUUGCUUUGGAUAUCUCCUAUCCAGUGCUUUAGAUCAUUUUCUGUGGUUAUACCCUAUUGUUCAUUUUCUGUGUCUUUGUUUGGUGUUGUUCCAUGCCCUUUGAGAAAGGUAUUAGAUCUGGGAAUGAGCAGCUUUUACAGUUCUCAUUCUUGGUUUAGCCCUCUCUUCGUGCUUGAAACUUUGAUUUUCUCUCUGCUCUUAAAAAGUCAUGAUCUUUGGUAGUAAGCCUUACUUGCCCAGUGAUGUAGAUUAAACUGUCUCGAGUGUUGCCCUGGUUUCACAGUUAGCCUUUCUGCUUACCAUUGCAGGCCUCAUCAUCAUCAUCAUCAUCUUCUUCUUCUUCUUCUUCUUCUUACCGUUAUUAUUAUUAUUAUUAUUAUUGGUAACGGCGGGGCUAGCUUUGAAACCGGAUCAAGAUGCGGCACUAAUGACAGAUAUGUAAUCUUUUCGAACUGAGGGCCUUCCUUUUGUAAACGUCGUUGGUUUUGGUCGCUGUCUAUGUGAACCCUUUUGGUUUUUGAGAUGCAUUCAUGCUUUUGCUUCAUAUUUUGUUUUGUGGUUAUUUUCAUUUCUAAGUUGAGGUAUAAUGAGGCGAUCUUCAAUGGAUUGCAGAGCCUAGAAAGCUGUGUUUUUACCUGUUUAAUGUCACUUCUGCUGUGAAUGAUUUUAUCUUGUGUAAGUACUUGGAUGAGUGUUGAGUGUCUUAUGAGGUACAUUAGUUGUUUUUUUUCCCCGUUUCUUAUUCUAACAUUGGAACUGCAUUUGACCAUGGCUUGUAAUCUUUAGGUGAAUAUGUUGUUCCUGUCCCGGGACACUUGCCCUGUGAUGAGAGCUCAGUUGAACUUUUCGAGUGGUGCCACCGGUCUUUUUCUUGUGUCGAGCCUCUCUUUCCGUCUUCACCACUGCUGCUAGCAGCCAUCUCUCUCUGAACCGAUUGCAGAUAUUGUGUAAGUGAGGAGAACUCAAGUUCCAUGGAUGGAUGGAGAGAGGAACCUCUCAAGUGUAACAGAAAGUUUCAAGGUUCUACCAAAGGGAACUCCAUUUUCUUGUUUAUGAUUCUUUGAUUUGGUGUUGGGUGAAUUCUUUGUCUGAGAUUUUCUUGAGAGGCCCACACAUUCAUGUACUUGUUGUAAUGAUUUUCUUUUGCAUUAUGUGAACCCAUAUCAAGAUUUUAUUUAGGACUAAGCAUGAAAUGAUUCAUGGCUACUUGAGUUUUUUUUA
Long non-coding RNA from Tarenaya hassleriana, 1621 nucleotides. RefSeq lists it as uncharacterized. NCBI's taxonomy places the organism in Eukaryota, Viridiplantae, Streptophyta, Magnoliopsida, Brassicales, Cleomaceae. The record is from RefSeq and is a predicted model, not a curated record. The transcript has 2 exons.